This 249-nucleotide long non-coding RNA is filed under the name Vitis vinifera (wine grape). Its description in RNAcentral is "long non-coding RNA (VVIN_LNC000174)". Lineage: Eukaryota; Viridiplantae; Streptophyta; Magnoliopsida; Vitales; Vitaceae. The record is from RNAcentral.
CCUCCUAGGAGAAUCUCAUACUAAUGCUACAAUAUAUUUUUUCUUAAUUGAUUGCUACAUAAAUAUGAUCCCACACCUGUUUUUAAUUCAUUUGGGGUUUGAAAAAAGUGGAUCCAACAUGAUAUAAUCACAAUCACAUGGGUUUACAGAUUAGAAUUUGAUUUAUAGAUUUUAAGAACCAAAAAGAAAAAAAUAAAAUCAGAGAGACAUAGUGAUGAGCAUAAAUUAUAAAUAGCAUGUGAGUGCGGC